UGGAUACCCCAAUUACCUUGAUUUGAUUUUUACACAUUAUAUGUAGCAAAAUAUCACAUGUACUCUAAAAAUAUGUACCUCUAUUUUGUGUCAAUUUAAAAAACCUUCUAUUAUACAAUGACACACCAUUUCAUAUCCACUAGAUUGGCUAUAAUUCGAAAGUCAGAUAAAAAAUGUCGACAAAGAUACGGAGAAAUGAGACUUUUCAUACACUGCUAGUUGAAUGUAAAAUGGCACAGCUGCUUUGUUGAACUUCCUGGUAGUUCCUUUAAUAGUUAAACAUAGAGUUGCCAUAUAAGCUAGUGAUAGAUGCAAGAGGCAGUUAAAGGAACCUACACAGGGUCUUACCUGGGCAUGCCCGCAACAGACUGGGGGCCUGCAUGCACCCUGAAAAAAUGGGGUGGAGCCACCAAGGAUUUUCACCUUAUGCAGCGGGAGAAGCCUAGCCUCUUCACCUUUGUGUGUGGUGGCCUGGUAUUCACUCUAUGAGUUGGGAGCCUGUUGGCAGGACCCCUUCUUUCUUUGCUGUGGGCUUUCUUUUUGCUUAAUAUAUCUGCCCUCCUCAUCCUUCAAUGUGUCUGUGUGUCUAAUUUUCCCUGGUCAUGAGUCAAGAGCCUGGAUUUUAGCUGAACUAAGGAGCAAAAAAUCCUGCAUCACUAGCAUUUCCACCCUUAGGUAUAUACCCAAGGUAAAUGAAAAUACAUGUCCAUACAGAAACUUGUACAUAAAUGUUUAUAGAAGUAGUAUUCAUAAUAAUGAAAAGGUGAGAACAACCCAAAUGCUCAUCAACUGAUGAAUGGAUAAAAUGUAAUAUCUUCAUACAAUGGAAUAUUGUUUGCCACAAAAAGGAAUGACACAUAAAUACAUGCUACCAUUGGGGUGCAGAAAACAGUUCCUCAAAAUAUAGUGCUUGGGCAUAUUGAAUGCUUUUGCAAAUUAAAAGGCCUCAGAAAUAAGCCUCAGAAUUAAGAUCCUUCUAACAUUGUCUUGUUCCUCCCCCAACCCCAAGUACAGGGAACAAUUUUUGACUGGAACUUCCUUAUCUGACCAAGAAAGCUUAUUACCAAAAGAAACACAAUUACCUUCUAUCCUCUCCCUGAAAUCUCAUUAUCUAUUGCAGAAAAGAAGACUGAGGAAUGCAACCACAACUGAAUGGACUUUUCCACAAGAUAAUUUCUGCCUCUUGGACCCAUUCAAAUUCCAAAGAGAAUCAUUUAGAAAUUAAUUUGUCUCCCUAGUUCAUUCAUUCUCCCUAAUUAUCAUGUACUACCACUCAAAAGAAUUGUCUACAUUUCCCACUUCCUUUCUCCCCUAUGAAAAGGGUAAAUAAACUUUUGUACCCCAUUUGGAGGUUAGGCAUGUUAAUAAAAUGUGUAUGCCUUUUCUCCUCCUGCCUUUUGUCAGGUAAUUUUCGGUAAACUUUCAGAGGGCAAAGGGGAAGUUUGCCUUUCAUCCUUACAGUCUGGUACUGUACACUUAGUAACAAAUCACUCUGUUCAUUCUGAGGGCUAUGAAUGGGAUCUUGGGACAGUUGACAAAAAGCCAG
Molecule: long non-coding RNA, 1546 nt
Filed under: Homo sapiens (human)
Lineage: Eukaryota; Metazoa; Chordata; Mammalia; Primates; Hominidae
Description: HSALNT0343095
Source: RNAcentral